AUGGACUGGACCUGGAGGAUCCUCUUCUUGGUGGCAGCAGCAACAGGUGCUCACUCCCAGGUGCAGCUGGUGCAGUCUGAGCCUGAGAUGAAGCAGCCUGGGGCCUCAGUGAAGUUCUCCUGCAAGGCUACUGGUUACACCUUCACUAGCUAUGUUAUGAACUGGGUGCGACAGGCCCCUGGACAAGGGCUUGAGUGGGUGGGAUGGAUCAACACCAACACUGGGAACCCAAUGUAUGCCCAGGGCUUCACAGGACAGUUUGUCUUCUCCAUGGACACCUCUGUCAGUACAGUAUAUCUGCAGAUCAGUAGCCUAAAGGCUGAGGACAUGGCUGUGUAUUACUGUUUGAGAGACACAGUGUGGAAACCCACAUCCCAAGACAGUCAGAAACCCUGA
This is a non-coding RNA of Pongo pygmaeus (Bornean orangutan), 396 nucleotides long. The record is from the annotation of a RefSeq genome assembly. NCBI's taxonomy places the organism in Eukaryota, Metazoa, Chordata, Mammalia, Primates, Hominidae.